UCCCUGGUGGCUCAGAUGGUAAAGCCUCUGCCUACAAUGCGGGAGACCCGGGUUCGAUCCCCGGGUAGGGAA
RNAcentral lists this transfer RNA (72 nucleotides) under Bos taurus (domestic cattle). It matches the Rfam family "tRNA". Rfam says of the family: Transfer RNA (tRNA) molecules are approximately 80 nucleotides in length. Their secondary structure includes four short double-helical elements and three loops (D, anti-codon, and T loops). Lineage: Eukaryota; Metazoa; Chordata; Mammalia; Artiodactyla; Bovidae. RNAcentral also lists the same sequence under 1 other name. The record is from Rfam by way of RNAcentral.